UUCAAUAACUUUUUAUGCUUUUUAUGUACCUGAUCAACUAACAUCGUUCUUUUUCCCAAUGAAUGUUCUGGUACAAGCACCACUCCUUCCUGUUCGCGAGCGUGAAAGUAGAUUGUUGUCUCGAUAUGCUCCAUACACGAAGAGCGUCCCAGAAAAUCCUCGGAACACAUCGGAAUAAACCAACACUAAACCUGCGAGGAUUUUUAUCAGCCACAAUUCCAUAACAUUUACAUUCAGAGAUGGCAGCAUAACCCUGAGAGAAAGUAUCAAUUUUGACUCAAUAAAACAUGCAGAAUGGAAACAUAACACCUACACGGAAAAAAAUUGCAUGGGUUUUUCAAAUACAGGAUCAUGAUAAUUUUACUAUGUCCACGAUCUAGUAUUUUCUACCACGAUUUAGUAUUUUGUACCAGAAAUCUGGGCUAAAGUACUACGACAUAGUAUUUUUACUAUGCGAACUUUGACAGCUCAUAGUAAUUUCCUCGUGUCUAAAUUACCAUGCGCAUGAUAUUCUGAUAUUGUACGAUUCGUGCUCCCGAAAUUACUAUACCCAUGGUAAUGUUGACAUAUCUUCUUUUGUGUUGUCGAAAAAACUAUGCUCAUGAUAAAAACCUUCUGCGCAAAGUAUUCUUAUGAUUGUUUUAUUCAUUUCACUCUUGGAUCCAUAGUACUUUUACUAUGUGCUUCUUUUGAGUGUAUUUUAUUUUGUUUUCGCUGUCAUCCCGUCGCGAAAUCGAAAACGUUAAAUUAAAAUUCUGCCAGAAAUCGUCGAAAAAGUGGCCAAUAUGAAAUCUUCCGUUGCGGAUUCAAUUGUAAACUUUUCGGUAAACUAUCAGAUUGGAUUGUGUUAUUUACUUGGGCAAUGCUUUCGAGAAUCGACCAACCGGCUGUCCUUUCUGGAAAAGUUUAUAGAACAUUUCCGAAUCGACGAACAGGAAGCUGCUAUACAGACAGCACAUUAGUCUGACCGGAAAAUGUAUUUCUCAAGUGAGUAAGAUUGUGUCCUUUUUAUUUCGCCUGUAACUUAUUUAUUUAAUUUACCAAUCCUAUUUGUUUUAGUGGCGGUGAAUGGUGUUUUCGUCUACAAAGCUCGAGUUCCCCCCCGCUCCCUGGAAACCUGCACAAUUGACCAACAUCGAAGGACAUUGGAACAUCAAACUGGAUGUGGGACGAAAUAUGCCGUUUUUUAACUAACCCGCACUGAAAGCGGGGUGCAGUAUCAAGUGGAAUCAUUCGGGCUGAAAAAUGCAUUCCUUCAGAAUGCUGUUUUCGUUUUUGGAGCCCGAGUGGGCACAAUUGGCCAGCGUCGGAGAACAUUCGAUCGUUUUAGCCUCUUCAUACCGUAUAGCAGCUGGGGCGAAAGAUGCUUUUUCAACUAAUUAAGAAAAGGAAUGCAGAAUCAGCACAUCGAUUGGCCCUGAAAAUGUAGUCUAUCAGGUUAUAAUUCUCCACUUCCCGUAUCGAUGGCCUCAAAAGUUCUUCCAAAACAUCCCGAAACGGCAUGGAAAAAAAGAUUUAUCGAUAUAAGCAGUAUUCCGAUUAAUCAUCAAGCUGCAAUUACAUCCGGCGUACUGUGAUCCGUAUUAAGUGACACCAUGAUAAAAUAAAGAAGUAACA
This is a long non-coding RNA of Uranotaenia lowii, 1617 nucleotides long. RefSeq lists it as uncharacterized. NCBI's taxonomy places the organism in Eukaryota, Metazoa, Arthropoda, Insecta, Diptera, Culicidae. The transcript has 4 exons. The record is from RefSeq and is a predicted model, not a curated record.